UACGUAGGGUGCGAGCGUUGUCCGGAAUUAUUGGGCGUAAAGAGCUUGUAGGCGGUUUGUCGCGUCUGCUGUGAAAAUCCGGGGCUCAACUCCGGACUUGCAGUGGGUACGGGCAGACUAGAGUGUGGUAGGGGAGACUGGAAUUCCUGGUGUAGCGGUGGAAUGCGCAGAUAUCAGGAGGAACACCGAUGGCGAAGGCAGGUCUCUGGGCCACUACUGACGCUGAGGAGCGAAAGCGUGGGGAGCGAACAGG
This 253-nucleotide ribosomal RNA is filed under the name uncultured bacterium. RNAcentral's name for it is "partial 16S ribosomal RNA". It matches the Rfam family "Bacterial small subunit ribosomal RNA", at positions 524 to 776 of the family's 1533-position model. The record is from RNAcentral.